CGUUCCCUGCAAGUUUCGCGUCCAAAGUUGCGAAAGUUCGUGCGAAGUUUCUCAGUUCGUGACGUAGAGCGAAAGUUCUGCACAACGAAAGUUCGAACGAAGUUUUGCGACAGGCCUUGCGAAAGUGUGUACGAAUUUUCGCACGAACUUUGUGUUCUGCACAUUUUCGUAGUUUGCACGCGUCAAGUGCACGUACGACAUGACCCAAUCUCACGAAACUUCCUACGAAAGUUCAUUUCGCGUUCCCUGCAAGUUUCGCGUCCAAAGUUGCGAAAGUUCGUCCGAAGUUUCUCACUUCGUGACGUAGAGCGAAAGUUCUGCACAACGAAAGUUCGAACGAAGUUUCGCGACAGGCCUUGCGAAAGUGUGUACGAAUUUUCGCACGAACUUUGUGUUCUGCACAUUUUCGUAGUUUGCACGCGCCAAGUGCACGUACGACAUGACCCAAUCUCACGAAACUUCCUACGAAAGUUCAUUUCGCGUUCCCU
Molecule: long non-coding RNA, 488 nt
Organism: Sycon ciliatum
Lineage: Eukaryota; Metazoa; Porifera; Calcarea; Leucosolenida; Sycettidae
Exons: 3
Source: RefSeq, a predicted model, not a curated record